RNAcentral lists this ribosomal RNA (777 nucleotides) under uncultured Neocallimastigales. RNAcentral describes it as "partial large subunit ribosomal RNA". It matches the Rfam family "Eukaryotic large subunit ribosomal RNA", at positions 22 to 628 of the family's 3401-position model. The record is from RNAcentral. Lineage: Eukaryota; Fungi; Neocallimastigomycota; Neocallimastigomycetes; Neocallimastigales.
GUACACGCUGUGACUAGCAUAUCAAUAAGCGGAGGAAAAGAAACUAACAAGGAUUCCCCUAGUAACGGCGAGUGAAGCGGGAAUGAGCUCAAAUUUGAAAUCUUAAAGGGUUUCCCUUUACGAAUUGUAGUUUAAAGAAGUGUUUUCUGUUGAGGUUUUGGUAAAAGUUCUUUGGAAUAGGACAUCAUAGAGGGUGAGAAUCCCGUAUUUGACCUUUACUUUCAACUUUGUGAUACACUUUACAAAGAGUCGGAUUGUUUGGGAAUGCAGUCCAAAAUGGGUGGUAAAUUUCAUCUAAAGCUAAAUAUUGGCGAGAGACCGAUAGCGAACAAGUACCGUGAGGGAAAGAUGAAAAGAACUUUGAAAAGGAGAGUUAAACAGUACGUGAAAUUGUCAAAAGGGAAGCGUUUGACACCAGUGUUGUUUUUCUGAAAAUCAAUUAAAGAACUGUUUAUGCUAAGUUGUUUAGACUUUAUCAGCUAACUGUUUAGUUUUGAGCUUUUCUUUAAUGCACUUUUCAGUUAACAAGUCAACAUCAAUUUCUUUUGCUGUAAAAAAGCUUGAGGAAGGUGGCUUGAGAUUCGUCUUAAGUGUUUAUAGCCUCUUGCCUAUGCAGUCGGAGAGAUUGAGGUCUGCAGCGUAGAUCCUUCGGGGCUAAAUGCAUUUGUGCUAAGUUAUAGCAUUUUAUAGACAACUUGUUGACUAUGAUUUGUCUUGUAGCUUACUCGCUUAUGUUAUUUUACCUACGCUUAGGAUGUUGAGUCGUAGAGCACGCAG